RNAcentral lists this long non-coding RNA (3108 nucleotides) under Homo sapiens (human). Its description in RNAcentral is "non-protein coding NR2F1-AS1:6". Lineage: Eukaryota; Metazoa; Chordata; Mammalia; Primates; Hominidae. The record is from RNAcentral.
GGCGCGGAGCCGCGCGGAGUGACAAAGCCGCCGCUGCCGCCGCCGGGGGUGGGAGCCGCGCUCGCCCGCCCGCCCCUCGACUCGCGAGGGCGUAAAAGUUUGUCUCAGCUCGAGCAUUCCUAGCGCCAACACGCCCUCAGGUAAAGGUGGAAGUAAAUGGCCACGCUGUAUUGACAGAGGUAGGGUUUGUUUUUUAAUACUCGUUCUCACUUUAAGUCUCACCAGGGAGGGGUUUGGGAAGCACUGCGUGUUUGGGGGACGUUUUGCGCUUCCUGGUCUCUCCAGCCUACAAGUCGGGAGUCGGCGACCGCUUAGUGACGAGCGAUGAUUUUAAAGAGCAGAAUAAAAGGUUUUCCCGUGCCUGCCCCACAGCCCCUCCAGCUCGAAUAAUGGAGAACUGUCAAUGCACUCCGCGAGCGGUGGCCCAUUGUACGCAGCUGAUGGCGAGGAGGCGACUGGGGGUAGCAGGGGCUCCUUGCCCUCGUCCCUAUGCCCAAAUAAACGCGCAAACGCGCUCCCGUCUUCUGGUCAGUUAAAAGGUGAAACGAACACGAUUAAAAUAGACCAAAAGAAAAGAAAGAAAAGAAAACCUUUCUAUGUACAGAUUCUAAAUCGUACUCCCCAUACAGUCAGAGGCAGGGAGUCGAGGGCAGAGGCAGCAGGCGGAGAGAGGGAGAUAGGGCGAGGGAAGGAGAACGCGGAGAGAGACGAAGGGAGUGGGAGACCAGCGACAGCGAGCGCCAGGGCACCGCAGGCACACUGGAUGCCCAGUCCGCCGGCCCAGCCGCCCUCGGACCCUGGACCGUGCGUCGUGGGCACCAGAAACGAGACUCGGCCAAAUCCUGCCUCACCAGCAGGUAGAUGAAACUCAAGAGAAAAGGUGUGGAUAAAUGAAACUAGCCCAUGAUGAACCUGUUUUCUCCGUGACCACAAUAUUAACCAGGAUGAAUGGCGAUACACUGCCUCUAGGACUGGGACAGAUAGCCACUGAGUACCUGCUUCAAAUCACCCUGCACGUUUUCUCUUUGGAAAGAUAAGCACUGGAGAACCAUCUCGUUACCUUCAGCAGAAAUGGAAACAAAUCAAGACAUUAAGAAUGCCGCAGUGGACAGCAGUUAUGCAAGGUUCAGCAGAGGAAGUUUUCAAGAUGGUGUGCCUCACUAGCCAGAAAUCAGAAAAGAUCGAAGCUAGCCUUUUCAUCUCAGCUGCUCCUUAAAUCAGUGCAACCCCUCCAAAUUAAUGUGAAUUGAAACUUGCAUUGCUUUUCAACUUAAUUGAAUACUUACUAUAUGUGAACCACUGCACAAAAUAGGGGAAGAAGAUGUGGGAGACAAAGAUGUGGAGCCUGUCUUCAAUAAAUUUACAGUUAGUUUCAGGGUACAUUGUUUUUCUUCUGCUGUUAAUUAGGUGUAUCCCCAAGACAAUAAAUACAUGAAUGGAAAAGUAUAUUCUGUGUUUUAAGUCUCUUUAAUAAAAAACAAAACAAAAUCCAAAAAAACUCCUAACAUGGCAACUCAGGACAUUUUAAUCCUUUUUUUUGUUGUUGGGCUUCUGAUAGGAUCCAUUUUAUUGAUUCCAUAAAUAUUUAGUAGACUUUAGACAUAUUAAUACAUUGUAGUUUGAGUUAAUUUGCAUUAAAUUCUGUUUUUUUCCCCUUAGGUAUAGAUUGUCUGUUGGAAAAAUAUAUUGCUUGUGGAUUUCUUGGGGAGUGGGAAGGUGAAUUAUACCUGUUGUCUCUACAGUCCACUACCUUCCACACCCUAGGGCAGUGGUCCCCAACCUUCUUGGCACCAGGGAUCAGUUUCCUGGAAGACAAUUUUUCUGUGGAUGGUGUGGGGAUGGUUUUGGGAUGGAACUGUUCCACCUCAGAUCAUCAGGCAUUAGUUAGGCUCUCAUAACGAGUGCGCAGCCUAGAUCCCUCACAUGCACAGUUCACAGUAGGGUUUGCGCUGCUAUGAGAAUCUAAGGCUGCCACUGAUCUGACAGGAGGCAGAACUCAGGUGGCAAUGCUUACUGGCCCACUGCUCACCUCUUGCUGUGCGGCCUGGUUCCUAAUAGGCCAUGGACCCCCACAGACGGGUACUAGUCUGCAGCCUGUGGACCCCAGCCCUAGGGGCCUGCCAUUCUGAGUGAGUUAUUAGCAUGAAGAAGAGGAAGAUCUGGAUCAAACGUGGGUGAUGGUACUCAGAGACCCAAGAUAGGAUAGGGAUGGAACAAAAUCCAUCUGGGCAACGGCUCUAUGAAAAUUUGGCUAAGUAAUUAUUUCAGUAUUCAUUGUAUUCAUUGUCCUUCGUGUUCCAUAAGUUAAAUGACUGUCUAAUUUUUCCAAAAAUUUAUUUCUGACUUGAGAAUAAGUGUGUCAUGAUUUUCCCAGUGUAAAGACACUGAUAUAACUGUAGAUACCAGACAUUUUAUGUAGUGUCUAUGACACAUUUUAGUAUGUAUGAGCCAACAAUAGACAUGUCUUUGUCUUGAGGAGUGUCCAUCUGAAUUGAAAAUGUGUCAGCUUUUUUUUAACAUCAUCAACAGACUUCUUAAUUAAGCUGCCAAUACAUACUGCCAAUAGCACUGUGUGCUGUCUGAGAAAUGCAUUGUGUAAGUGCUAUUUCCAUCUUAUUAAAUAAACAAUGUUGCUCUGUAUAAACUGGAUUUAAAGUGUUCUUUGAAUGAGGCAUUAUAUUGCUCCAUAAAUAAUGUGAUGUGAAUUCUCAUAUGAUCCCUUUUAACUUAAUUUCUAAAAAAAUAUUAUUUGCUCCUCAGUAAGGAAUAGCUCUAAUUGGACUGGUAACUUUAGUGAUAUGAUUUGUCUGUAACAGGCUGAAUCGCCCCACUCCCAAACUCCUGGUCGUGAUACUGGAUAUUUGUUAUGCCACUUUUAGUUUGCAUGAGGUAUCUUCCAGGAAGUAUUAGUUAUUAACUUGUGUUCUACUAAACUGUAGAUAUUUAUUUCCUGUUCUGGAAGAUUUCUUGGAGUGUCCAUCUGUGCAUUCCUGGUGCCUAGUGUAGUCUUGCUAAUGGAAUAGCACCUUUAUUGGUGCUACUUAGGGGUUGGUAGCUUACAAUCAAUCUACUUGGAACGUAUCCAAAUAAACUGGAUAUUUUUAUACA